This 145-nucleotide ribosomal RNA is filed under the name Halococcus thailandensis JCM 13552. RNAcentral describes it as "partial 23S ribosomal RNA". It matches the Rfam family "Archaeal large subunit ribosomal RNA", at positions 1393 to 1535 of the family's 2987-position model. The record is from RNAcentral. Lineage: Archaea; Methanobacteriati; Methanobacteriota; Halobacteria; Halobacteriales; Halococcaceae.
GUAGCAGCGGUAGUCGGGUUAGAAUCCCGACGGCCUCACGGACAAGGGUUCCUCGGCAAUGUUCGUCAACCGAGGGUUAGCCGGUCCUCAGUCCUACCGCAGUUCGAGUAGGACGAAUCGGGAAACUGGUUAAUAUUCCAGUGCC